CUAUGCGCCUUGCCAGCCCGCUCAGGUGUGCCAGCAGCCGCGGUAAUACAGAGGUCUCAAGCGUUGUUCGGAAUCACUGGGCGUAAAGCGUGCGUAGGCGGUUUCGUAAGUCGUGUGUGAAAGGCGGGGGCUCAACCCCCGGACUGCACAUGAUACUGCGAGACUAGAGUAAUGGAGGGGGAACCGGAAUUCUCGGUGUAGCAGUGAAAUGCGUGGAUAUCGAGAGGAACACGCGUGGCGAAGGCGGGUUCCUGGACAUUAACUGACGCUGAGCACGAAGGCCAGGGAGCGAAAGGG
Molecule: ribosomal RNA, 297 nt
Filed under: uncultured bacterium
Lineage: Bacteria
Description: partial 16S ribosomal RNA
Rfam family: Bacterial small subunit ribosomal RNA
Source: RNAcentral